UGGAGGGGGGAGUAAACCAACGCAAAGCUGAAAUUAAACAGAAUGUGGAAAGAAAUCUUUUCAGAUAACCAGGGAGGGUAAGGACAAUCGAGCUGGGGGACAGUAACGAGAAAGGCAAAGAAGGAGAAAAAAAAAAAAAAAAUCCAGACUGAAGAGUGAGGCCAUGGAAGGAUGAGAAAUGUACUUUAAACAGAAAGGCAAAGAAAGAAAAAUGCGUCCGGAAAUCAAAAUUCAACAUGGGGGGAAAAUCAGGCUACAGGCAACGUGUUCCUGAAAGUGUCAAGAAAGAGAGAGAGAAAGAGAAAGAAAAAAAAAAAAAAGCCGCCGAACAAACUGGAAGAACAGAAAGUGAAGGGAGAAAGGAAAGGAGACAAAUUAAACCAGACAAGAAAUAGCGCUGAAACUUUGACAGUCUUAUCUGCACCUAUAAGGAUCUUAGGAGCUACAGAGACUCAACUGUGCUACAUAUUGUCCAAUUUCUCAAACAACACCUUAUGCUGCAUUUCAUAUUGCCAAAUUAAUCAGACUUGAAGCAUCGUCCUUACUCAGCCAGUGAUAUGGAAGCAUUUUCUCUACAAGAAUCCAGUUAAGUGUAUGCUUUUCUCUUAGAGCUCCGGAACCCAGAUUGUUCCUUUUUGACAUUUUCUACUGUCAAAUUACACACUACAAGUAUUUCAACUAUACAUUUAAAAUCUGCUAGUGACCUCCCAGUGUGGUUUCUUUAUUCAUGGAAAUUGGCACUCUUUCAAAAACUGUGAUGUUCAGAAAGCAGAAAGAUAUAGAUAUAUAGAUACACACACACACACACACACACAUAUGUAUAUACAGACAUAACAGAAGAUAAUUUAUGGGCUUUAGGAGAGAGAUGCUCUCCUUUAAGAAGGGUUUAGGACUAUAAUAGACAAAUGGUGACAACCAUAAUUAAGUGCAAAGUAGGAAAACAUUAUUUGCAACAGCAUGGUGCCUUUCAUGCCUCACUCUGUGAUUCAGUUGGACCAUUCACUUUAUAAUUACUUUCACUGCCCACUGUUUACUUUUGUAGACAACAGAUUUAGCUUCAUUGUCUUCAGAACUAUCAAUAUAACAUAGAUGCAUUCUCUUCAGCAGAGAUAAAUAGCAACACCCCUUUUGUGAACCUUGAAAUGAAUGCGUUUGGGGGCCUUUUUCAAAUACCCUGCAAAUUGUAGAAAGACACAAUAGAGGUGACUGUGGCAUGCAUUGACUACUUGUGAAUUUCAGUUAAAAUGCACUAGGAAUUCAUCUCAACUUUCAAAAAGCCUACCACAAUCAAAACUUAACAGUUUUUCAAUGACUGUGCUUUCUCUUGCUCAUUUAUUCACCCACAUAUAUUUUAGCCCUUAAAAAGAUUACUGUGACUUCACAUUUGCAGUAUUUUCCUUCUUUUUCCUUUUUUAAUUUAACUUUCUUUCAUUCUUAGCAUCACUUCCAAGGCUCGUGCAUUAUCACUCUCAUGGCUUACUAUCACCAAGAGCUUGUCUCCAUGUUAAUAAGUGUCUUCCACCAAAAUAAUGCAUCCAGCCUUACAUAGUUCUCUAGAUAUGACUGAACAGGUUACAAAUCUGUUUUCUGAAUCUUAAAUCCUUAAAGAGGCUUCUUACCUGAAAAAUCCAGCCAAGAGCAGAGUACUCUAUUAGUGUUCAUUGGAAAGCUCUAACACUUUCUAAAAUCCAUCUGUGCACAAUUGGAGAUUUUU
This is a long non-coding RNA of Acinonyx jubatus (cheetah), 1714 nucleotides long. RefSeq lists it as uncharacterized. The transcript is spliced from 2 exons. Lineage: Eukaryota; Metazoa; Chordata; Mammalia; Carnivora; Felidae. The record is from RefSeq and is a predicted model, not a curated record.